Molecule: long non-coding RNA, 1523 nt
Filed under: Olea europaea subsp. europaea
Lineage: Eukaryota; Viridiplantae; Streptophyta; Magnoliopsida; Lamiales; Oleaceae
Source: RNAcentral
GCAGAUUCCUGAAAGUGUGGUUGACCUAUGCUAGAAUUGACUAUGACGCUGCUUAUUUUCCAGAGUGUUGAGCUGUCAAGAAAAUCCUUGCUGCAAUGCAAACAGGGUCUAUAAAUAAGAAAAUCCAUAGAAGGCCUCGUUGAAAUUUGAAAAAGUUCAGUGUUUCAUACCGUGGAAAGGGAAUGUUGACCAAUUUGAUUCGGGAUGCAUACUUCAAAUGGAAUCGAAUUUCUCGAAUUGGAAUCGAAUUUAUCACGUUUAUAAUUUAUUUUUUAUUUUUUUACAAUUUAUUCAUCCUGAUUCUGCUAUAAUUCUGCUAUAUAUUUUGCCUUUGAUUGAGAUUUUAACUAGGAAUUCUGACGUAUAUUUGGAACAGUCUCAUUCUCAAUUGAAAGAAUCAAUUGAGGAACAUGGCCUCUAGCCUUGGUAAUAUCAGUAACAUUAAUUGUAUUAUAAAGGAUGGGCAAGACAGCAUAAAUCAAUAGAUUCUUUCAAUUGAGGAUGAGACUAUUCUGAAAUUUUUUAACCAUCUCCUUCUUCAGAACAAGGUGGAUUUCAUUGAACAGUUCAAUGAGAAGCUUGUUGUCAAACAAAGGAACAAGAACACCAAAUUUUUUAUGUAAGUUGUUUUUUGUCUUAUAUUUGUAUAUUACUUUGUAGCAUGUUUAGCACGAAGAUUAGUUCGCAAUGAACUGUAUGAAGAAAGAAAGUGGAGUUAACAAACUUAUUCGGUUAUUUCCCAUUUUGCGCACCAAGCAUGCACUUGAUGUUUACAUCCUAUAAAAUCUAUACGAGUCCGCAACUUGGAGUUAAAGUUAGUAGAAGUGAAUUCCUGUUAAAAUAUUUUGUACAUGUACAUAAGGCGUUCCUUUUUCAUUUGCUAUUUUCAUCCGUCCUCCCACAUUUUUCAACACUAAAAUCAUAUGACUUAAUCAAUUUCAGCACGAGUAAAAAAAUAUUACACACGGCAUCAUCUUCAUCAACUUUUCCCCUAUGAUAAUAUACAGGUUUCACUUCUUUUUGUGCUCAUAUUUUUGUUUAGGUUUGGCAAUUAGAUAAGCUUAGCUGCUUUUAUUUCUUUCUCGUCCAUUUCUUUAGUCUAAGUAUAAACAUGUUUCCGUGUAUGCUAUGGGGUUGUGAGACAUGAAUAUUGAAUCAAUUGGAAACAUGCACCAAACAUCUUCACAUCUUGUAAAAUCCAAUAUCUUUUCCUUAUACAAUUUCACAAUUCUUCUGUGUCUUUUGCAUCUCUACCAAAACCGCUCUCUAUAUUUCUCUCCUUGGUUCAGCCAAGUUGAAUGGUGAAUUUUUAUUUAUUUAUUUAUUUAUUUAUUUUUGAAUUUGGCCUGAAAAUUUUAUUCGAGAGUGCACAGGUGUAUGAGACUAUGGAUGUUGGUUAAGUGUGUAUUUAUAUGAGAAAUAGUGAGAGAGAUUGAGAAAUAGUAGUGAUAUGCACCAAACAUGCACUAAACUUGCACUUAUGUUCACAUCAUGUGGAAUCUAUUACCUUUUUUGUACACAGG